Molecule: ribosomal RNA, 245 nt
Filed under: uncultured bacterium
Lineage: Bacteria
Description: partial 16S ribosomal RNA
Rfam family: Bacterial small subunit ribosomal RNA
Source: RNAcentral
GCGCAAGCGUUAUCCGGAAUUAUUGGGCGUAAAGAGCUCGUAGGCGGUUUGUCGCGUCUGCCGUGAAAGUCCGGGGCUCAACUCCGGAUCUGCGGUGGGUACGGGCAGACUAGAGUGAUGUAGGGGAGACUGGAAUUCCUGGUGUAGCGGUGAAAUGCGCAGAUAUCAGGAGGAACACCGGUGGCGAAGGCGGGUCUCUGGGCCGAUACUGACGCUGAGGAGCGAAAGCGUGGGGAGCGAACAGG